UUCAACAGGGACUCCCGAUGAAUGUUGUGCCUUAUGGGAUCGAGACUAAAGGUGUCAUGAGUAUUAUCAACUUACGGCCAAGAUAUCCUACAGCUUACUUUAGUGCAUUCAAGAUUAGCGACGGAUGCUUAAUAGUGCAAGACUGGACCAAAUAUGUGUUGGGGGAGCGCAGAGAAGUACUAGGGAGCAGCAACCAGAGACGCCUUCCACGAUUAGGAGACAGGUUCAUCUGCAUGCUUCAACUUGAUCAAGGAGGAGAGCUAUACAUGUUUUAUGUUCUUUUACCUAAGAGAGAGCAGCAGGAGUGAGUAGCAGGAGUGAGUAGCUGGCUAGAAAUGAGUUUCAGGAUGAUGAUGUGCUACACUAUUACUAUGAUGAUAAAAUAGCUAGUGUUCGUGGUAAUGACUACGAUGUUUAUUAUUAGCUAGUGUUAGUGGUGAUUAAAUAAAUAAUGUUGAUGGUAAUGACCAUGAUGAUGAUUAAAUAUCUUGUGCUGGCGGAUUAGAUUCAAGUGAAGGCAACAUGUGGUGCACAUCGAAAGUACUACUAAUCCAAAGUAGAUCAAGUUUGGAUUAGUAGUAUACUUUUGACAUGCACCACAUAUUGCCUCCACUUAAACCUAAUCCACCUUCAUUUAAUACACUGUUAUGGACAUAAUGAUGUAAACCUCAUAACAGCUGGUAUUGUACCAAUAUUUGUAUGAUGGCGCAUAAAUACACUAAAAAUAAAAAAAUUAUAAAAAAAAAUACUAGUAGCGAUGGAAAGGAAACACGCUGCAAGUAGAUAACUUAGCAGUAGCGCUGUACUGAACAAGCGCUGCAGCUAUUUGUACUAGCAGUAGCGCGUGAUGGCACGCGUUACUGCUAAGCAAUAGUUGUAGUGCCUUAUUAGUAGCGCGGCUUCCCGCGCUACUAGUAGGCACAAAACACGCGCUACUGCUAGGGUUUUCCCUAGUAGUGACA
RNAcentral lists this long non-coding RNA (962 nucleotides) under Triticum aestivum (bread wheat). RNAcentral describes it as "long non-coding RNA (TAES_LNC023452)". The record is from RNAcentral. Lineage: Eukaryota; Viridiplantae; Streptophyta; Magnoliopsida; Poales; Poaceae.